This is a long non-coding RNA of Homo sapiens (human), 578 nucleotides long. RefSeq lists it as uncharacterized. The record is from RefSeq and is a predicted model, not a curated record. NCBI's taxonomy places the organism in Eukaryota, Metazoa, Chordata, Mammalia, Primates, Hominidae. The transcript has 2 exons.
UUUCUAAAAUUAGUCAUUUUUUAAAAUAAGAAACUAAGCAUUUGUUUAUGGUAAAACUUGCUUAAGACCAUCUCCAUUCUGCAGAAAGCCUUUUAUGAGGCAGGGAGUUUCAGAUAACAGUUCUUGCUCUUUGAAACACGUGGAAGGUAACUGCAAAAGAGCAUACAUUUCUCGGGAGAAAUCAGUGGGGGAAAAAAAGAUCAUACAGUCUACCCUCGCCACGUUCCAGCAUACUGUUCCUAUGCAUCCCUGGCAGCUGACUGUUAUUCCUGAGAUGAGUAUCUGUGGUUUCCUUUCAAUUUUGAUUCCUUCCAUUUGAAAGUAUUUUAAGUACUGCAAAAAGAAUUCUGCACUCUUUAAAUAAACUGAUAUUCACUGGGGUAUAUGAAACUGUUCUGCAAUAACGGCACAGACAAACUGAUUUGAAAGGUGGAAUACCAGUUUGGAAAGGUAAUUUAUAUUCUUUAUGCUAAAUUCCAUCCUGCACAGAGACCCAGAUGCCCACUAACAAUAACUAUUUGGUUGAAAGCCAAGGCAAAAUUCCUUCACUCCUAUAAAUAAAAUUUACAAAUCCCCAA